RNAcentral lists this ribosomal RNA (501 nucleotides) under Lironoba australis. RNAcentral's name for it is "partial 16S ribosomal RNA". It matches the Rfam family "Bacterial large subunit ribosomal RNA", at positions 1811 to 2608 of the family's 2925-position model. The record is from RNAcentral. Lineage: Eukaryota; Metazoa; Mollusca; Gastropoda; Littorinimorpha; Rissoidae.
AAACAUGGCUCUUUGAGUACCAAAUAUAAAGAGUCCAGCCUGCCCAGUGAAUUUUUUCAACGGCCGCAGUACCCUGACUGUGCAAAGGUAGCAUAAUCACUUGCCCUAUAAUUAAGGGCUAGAAUGAAAGGCUAAACAAGAACAAAACUGUCUCUACUUUAAUUCUCUACAAUUUAAUAUUUAAGUGAAGAAGCUUAACUUAAAUUAAAAGACGAGAAGACCCUAUCGAGCUUAAAAACACCUAUAAACUAAAUUCAUUUAUAGUUCUUUUUGGUUGGGGCGACCUAGGAACCAAUAAGCUUCCUAACUUUUAUUAUAACUAUUUAGACCCAGUCCAACUGGUUAAUAAAACAAGCUACCGUAGGGAUAACAGCGUAAUUUUCUUUAAGAGUUCUUAUCAAAAAGAAACCUUGCGACCUCGAUGUUGGACUAAAAUUUCCUAAAUGAUGCAGAAGUCUUUUUGGUUGGUCUGUUCGACCAUUAAAAUUUUACAUGAUCUGA